This 963-nucleotide unclassified non-coding RNA is filed under the name Hevea brasiliensis (rubber tree). The record is from RNAcentral. Lineage: Eukaryota; Viridiplantae; Streptophyta; Magnoliopsida; Malpighiales; Euphorbiaceae.
UCAACCCCUUCACUAUGCCCAUUAUUCAACCUGUAAGGCCUCUCCUCUCCAUCAAUCUCACCACUCCCAGGAUCAUCCUCCUCAUCCUCUUCUUCAUCCUCCUCCUCAUCAGAUUCAGGCCUCUCAUUCUCCUCUGCGUCCAUUUUAUCCAAAUACUUCAACGAUUUGAUCAAUCCAAAAACCCUAGAUCGAUAAUCCUUCACUCUGGUGACCGGACACUCAUACAGAUCGAGAGAAAUGAGCUUCAACUGAGCCAGUGGCGCAAGAUCUUCAAUAUAUUGGAUGCGAUUGUUCGACAAGUCAAGGUCCCGAAGAGAGUCGAGGCCAGCCUCAACGAGGAACUCGAGCCCGCCAGCGAUGCGAUUGUCAGAGAGUAUGAGCUUCUGAAGGUUCCUAAGGCGAGGGAACUGCUCAAGCGUCGAGACUCCUAUAUUAGCGAUGGAGAGGUGCUGAAGGUUCUCGAACUUCUCUAAAAGACUCGGUGGAGGAAGACGACCCUGCACGCACUUCACCGCGCCGUCUAGGGUUAGGCUUCGAGCCGCCGCGUUGUCCGUUUGGCCGUCUAAAGCUGUCUCCACUGCCCGCUCCCAGAUCUCAUCCAUCAAAUACGAAACCCUCUCUCUCAUACACCAAAUAAAUUGCUCUACACGUAUAAAAUGAUGAAUCUUUCUCCAAUAUACCUCUCUCAAUGGAAAGAUUCAAAGCAUAAUCACAUAAAAUAAGAAAUUAAUCUGCACUCUAUGACACUAAACAGAGGAAAUUUUUCAUAGCCAAACUGCACAAGAAGCAGAAGAAAUGAAACCCGUGAAGCAGCCAAUUACCCUAACCCUAAAUUUAGGAAUCAGAACAAGGAUCAAUAGCUAUCUGUUUGAACCGUUUAAACCCUAAUUAAUUUUUCAUUUUCAGAUGUAAGGUCUCUCUCUCUUCCUUUCUCACAGUAGCAAACAUGCUUGGAAGAAAACA